RNAcentral lists this non-coding RNA (21 nucleotides) under Caenorhabditis elegans. Lineage: Eukaryota; Metazoa; Nematoda; Chromadorea; Rhabditida; Rhabditidae. The record is from RNAcentral.
UCAUUCAUUGAUUCGUUGGCG